This is a non-coding RNA of Bombyx mori (domestic silkworm), 131 nucleotides long. The record is from RefSeq and is marked provisional. NCBI's taxonomy places the organism in Eukaryota, Metazoa, Arthropoda, Insecta, Lepidoptera, Bombycidae.
UACAUUGCUGAAGUUACAUUGGGAAGUGAGACCUCGUAGCCUCGCAGCCCACUGUGAUGGUGACUCCUGGGGUAGUUGUGUGGCGGCAUAAAAAUGAUGACGCUCGCCAAAGCCCACUGAUUUUGGAGUGA